Molecule: ribosomal RNA, 404 nt
Filed under: uncultured bacterium
Lineage: Bacteria
Description: bacterial SSU rRNA
Rfam family: Bacterial small subunit ribosomal RNA
Source: RNAcentral
UGGGGAAUAUUGCACAAUGGGGGAAACCCUGAUGCAGCGACGCCGCGUGAGUGAAGAAGUUAUUCGUAACGUAAAGCUCUAUCAGCAGGGAAGAAAAUGACGGUACCUGACUAAGAAGCCCCGGCUAACUACGUGCCAGCAGCCGCGGUAAUACGUAGGGGGCAAGCGUUAUCCGGAUUUACUGGGUGUAAAGGGAGCGUAGACGGCAAUGCAAGUCUGGAGUGAAAAUCCGGGGCUCAACCCCGGAACUGCUUUGGAAACUGUGUAGCUAGAGUGCAGGAGAGGUAAGCGGAAUUCCUAGUGUAGCGGUGAAAUGCGUAGAUAUUAGGAGGAACACCGGUGGCGAAGGCGGCUUACUGGACUGUAACUGACGUUGAGGCUCGAAAGCGUGGGGAGCAAACAGG